GAGUUUGAUCUUGGCUCAGAUUGAACGCUGGCGGCAUGCCUUACACAUGCAAGUCGAACGGCAGCACGGGAGCUUGCUCCUGGUGGCGAGUGGCGAACGGGUGAGUAAUGCAUCGGAACGUAUCCUGGAGUGGGGGAUAACGUAGCAAAAGUUACGCUAAUACCGCAUAUUCUGUGAGCAGGAAAGCGGGGGACCUUCGGGCCUCGCGCUCUUGGAGCGGCCGAUGUCGGAUUAGCUAGUUGGUGAGGUAAAGGCUCACCAAGGCGACGAUCCGUAGCAGGUCUGAGAGGAUGAUCCG
RNAcentral lists this ribosomal RNA (298 nucleotides) under bacterium enrichment culture clone ALO1_GLFRUDD03FXCBL. Its description in RNAcentral is "partial 16S ribosomal RNA". It matches the Rfam family "Bacterial small subunit ribosomal RNA", at positions 9 to 307 of the family's 1533-position model. The record is from RNAcentral.